GGCCUACGGGGGGCUGCAGUGGGGAAUAUUGGACAAUGGGCGCAAGCCUGAUCCAGCCAUGCCGCGUGGGUGAAGAAGGCCUUCGGGUUGUAAAGCCCUUUUGUUGGGAAAGAAAACUUUCCGGUUAAUACCCGGAGAGAAUGACGGUACCCAAAGAAUAAGCACCGGCUAACUUCGUGCCAGCAGCCGCGGUAAUACGAAGGGUGCAAGCGUUACUUGGAAUUACUGGGCGUAAAGCGUGCGUAGGUGGUUCGUUAAGUCUGAUGGGAAAGCCCUGGGCUCAACCUGGGAAUUGCAUUGGAUACUGGCGGGCUAGAGGGCGGUAGAGGGUAGUGGAAUUCCUGGUGUAGCAGUGAAAUGCGUAGAGAUCAGGAGGAACAUCCGUGGCGAAGGCGACUGCCUGGACCAGCACUGACACUGAGGCACGAAAGCGUGGGGAGCAAACAGGAUUAGAUACCCGAGUAGUCGA
This 469-nucleotide ribosomal RNA is filed under the name uncultured Luteimonas sp. Its description in RNAcentral is "bacterial SSU rRNA". It matches the Rfam family "Bacterial small subunit ribosomal RNA", at positions 335 to 797 of the family's 1533-position model. The record is from RNAcentral. Lineage: Bacteria; Pseudomonadati; Pseudomonadota; Gammaproteobacteria; Lysobacterales; Lysobacteraceae.